AAGUGUAUAUUAGCAUACAGUAUGUGAAUAAAGCUUCCUUUGGAAGCUGUUACCAACUGGCACACAUGCACGAAGAAGAGAAAACCAAAUUUAGCAUUUAAGUGACACGUUGCCUAUUAGAUAUACAUGGACAAGAAAAAAAGAAAAAAAAAAGAAAAAAGAAAAGAAAAGAGGAAACGACGAGUUUAGGAAGGGCAGAGGAAUAGAGAAAACUGAAAAGAGAAAGAAGAAAAGAAAAGGAAAGGGUUGCUGGAAAAAAACUCAGUAGGCAGGCAAUGAGAAUGAACUGAUCACUUCGGCAAUAUCAAAGGAUAAGUAGAUAAUUUGAGAAGUAGUCAAGCCUUUCUUGUAUCAUCAUUUGACUUGCCAUAAAUUGUUUGGAAGACGUGGUACUGGCAGGGGGUGUUUUCAGUGCGGAAGGGAAGGCCACCAGAAGAAGGAUUGUCUUGUGUUAAAAGCAGAAGAGUGCUAUCAUUGCCACCAGUCGGGUCAUCGGAAAAGAGAUUGUCCUAUGUUAACAGGAGUGACUUCAGUGGGUAGUGUUGUCAGUUCUGGUUUGCACAGGGGAGCUCGUCAAGAGGAGGUAGGGGUGCUACAAGUGGUUCGCAAGCCCAGGGAAGAGUGUUUGCUAUGACACUUCAGGAUGCUCAAGCAACACCAGAAGUGGUGACAGGCAAUGAGAGGGAACCGAUCACUUCGGCAAUAUCAAAGGAUAAGUAGACAAUUUGAGAAGUAGUCAAGGUACAAGGUUAGGUUGCUACUGCCAAGUCUAGAAUCUUGAGUGGGAAUGGGGAAAGGAAUAAUGGAACGUCUUUUGUUUAAGAUGUAAAUAUUGUAAUAGAACUUGUCAUUAACGAUUUAGUUUGUCAGAAUUUGCAUAACAGGUCUAUAAUUUGCUUUUAGAUUGUAAAUUGUUAAGCAAGUACUCUGAUAUAUGAUGAUGUCAUGUUGAAUGUGGUUAAUGCA
Cornus florida is the source of this 966-nucleotide long non-coding RNA. RefSeq lists it as uncharacterized. The record is from RefSeq and is a predicted model, not a curated record. The transcript has 5 exons. Lineage: Eukaryota; Viridiplantae; Streptophyta; Magnoliopsida; Cornales; Cornaceae.